Molecule: ribosomal RNA, 481 nt
Filed under: uncultured bacterium
Lineage: Bacteria
Description: partial 16S ribosomal RNA
Rfam family: Bacterial small subunit ribosomal RNA
Source: RNAcentral
GAUGAACGCUGACAGAAUGCUUAACACAUGCAAGUCUACUUGAUUUAUGGUUUCGGCCGUAAUGAUGGUGGCGGACGGGUGAGUAACGCGUAAAGAAUCUGCCCUUUAGUCUGGGAUAACAGUUGGAAACGACUGCUAAUAUCGGAUAUUAUGGAAUCAUCGCAUGAUGAAAUCAUGAAAGCUAUAUGCGCUAGAGGAGGACUUUGCGUCCCAUUAGCUAGUUGGUGAGGUAACGGCUCACCAAGGCGACGAUGGGUAGCCGGCCUGAGAGGGUGAUCGGCCACAAGGGAACUGAGACACGGUCCUUACUCCUACGGGAGGCAGCAGUGGGGAAUAUUGGACAAUGGGCCACAAGCCUGAUCCAGCAAUUCUGUGUGCACGAUGAAGGUCUUCGGAUUGUAAAGUGCUUUCAGUAGGGAAGAAUAAAUGACGGUACCUACAGAAGAAGCGACGGCUAAAUAUGUGCCAGCAGCCGCCGUAA